UACGUAGGGUGCAAGCGUUGUCCGGAAUUAUUGGGCGUAAAGAGCUUGUAGGCGGUUUGUCGCGUCGGGAGUGAAAUCCACUGGCUUAACCCUGGGCCUGCAUUCGAUACGGGCAGACUAGAGUUCGGUAGGGGAGACUGGAAUUCCUGGUGUAGCGGUGAAAUGCGCAGAUAUCAGGAGGAACACCGGUGGCGAAGGCGGGUCUCUGGGCCGAUACUGACGCUGAGGAGCGAAAGCGUGGGGAGCGAACAGG
Molecule: ribosomal RNA, 253 nt
Filed under: uncultured bacterium
Lineage: Bacteria
Description: partial 16S ribosomal RNA
Rfam family: Bacterial small subunit ribosomal RNA
Source: RNAcentral